UGGGGAAUAUUGCACAAUGGGCGAAAGCCUGAUGCAGCAACGCCGCGUGAGUGAUGAAGGUCUUCGGAUUGUAAAGCUCUGUCUUUUGGGACGAUAAUGACGGUACCAAAGGAGGAAGCCACGGCUAACUACGUGCCAGCAGCCGCGGUAAUACGUAGGUGGCGAGCGUUGUCCGGAUUUACUGGGCGUAAAGGGUGCGUAGGCGGAUGUUUAAGUGAGAUGUGAAAUACCCGGGCUUAACUUGGGUGCUGCAUUUCAAACUGGAUAUCUAGAGUGCAGGAGAGGAGAAUGGAAUUCCUAGUGUAGCGGUGAAAUGCGUAGAGAUUAGGAGGAACACCAGUGGCGAAGGCGAUUCUCUGGACUGUAACUGACGCUGAGGCACGAAAGCGUGGGUAGCAAACAGGAUUAGAUACCCUGGUAGUCCGCGCCGUAAACGAUGAGUACUAGGUGUAGGAGGUAUCGACCCCUUCUGUGCCGCAGUAAACACAUUAAGUACUCCGCCUGGGAAGUACGAUCGCAAGAUUAAAAC
Molecule: ribosomal RNA, 529 nt
Filed under: uncultured bacterium
Lineage: Bacteria
Description: partial 16S ribosomal RNA
Rfam family: Bacterial small subunit ribosomal RNA
Source: RNAcentral